AUCAUCAACUAACGGGCAAACCUUUAACUAGCUUUUUUGAAGGCUAUCAUGCAGAACUGAAACUGCAUAAGUGAUGAUGCGUACAUAGAAGCAUUAUGCGCUAUAUAGUGUAGUGAUUAAGCUUUAUACUUUUUUCGCUUGCAUAUGUAAAGAGUAAACAAAUUCAGGCAAACGUCAGUAAGAAUAGCGCUCUUAUUGACGUUU
RNAcentral lists this non-coding RNA (204 nucleotides) under unclassified sequences. Its description in RNAcentral is "FuFi-1 RNA". The stretch from base 23 to 204 matches the Rfam family "FuFi-1 RNA". The record is from Rfam by way of RNAcentral.